GGGAGGACACCGUCCUCCUAAACUCCCUGCCAGCACGCCCCUGGAAUACAGUAAUGAUAUACUUGCUGAUGGAGACAACAUAGAUAGCGAUGAUUGGAUUGCUGUGGCUUUCGACAAUGGAUGGUUCCCAGGAAUGGUAACCAGUGUCUGCCAUGAGAAUGUAAUAGUUGACUUUCUUCAACCAACAUCACUGCCAUGCCAGUUUAAAAGACCAACACCCAAAGAUGAAGUUGAAAUAAAAAGAAUUUAUGUUUUUGCUGGACCGCUUCUUCCUCCAGUACCAACAAGUGGUGGUCGACUGUUUUCACUUCCUCAAACUGAAGCUGUUGAAUUAUCAUACACAAAGUUCAAAGCAAAGCACUGGUGAAGUUGAAAGGUCUGUCAACUCCUUGUUAUUUUACUCCAGAAAUGUAUAUAGCCUAAUUUAUUUCAUUAUAUUUUGAGUGAUCCUGUCUGAUGAAUAUUUUAGAAACUUAUAAUAAGACUGGUCAGUUUCACAUAUUAUAUAAUUUAAAUACAACAUACCUGGUUGAAUAGUGCUUCUGUAGAGCUUUAAUUUGAUAUGCAACAUGAAAUAGUUCCCUUCAAGUUUCAAAAUUUGUU
Molecule: long non-coding RNA, 603 nt
Organism: Patella vulgata (common limpet)
Lineage: Eukaryota; Metazoa; Mollusca; Gastropoda; Patellidae
Exons: 3
Source: RefSeq, a predicted model, not a curated record